AAGUCGAGCGAUCGAACCGGACUGCCCACCCUUCGGGGUGCAAUGGCCGGUCACGGAGCGGCGGACUGGUGAGUAGCACGUGGCUAACCUACCCUCUUGACGGAGAUAACCAUUCGAAAGGAUGGCUAAUACCCGAUGUUGUGCGAGAUCGAUAGUUCUUUCACCAAAGGCGGUCCUGCCGCCGCAAGAGGAGGGGGCUGCGCCCUAUUAGCUUGUUGGUGGGGUAAUGGCCUACCAAGGCAGUGAUGGGUAGCUGGUCUGAGAGGACGACCAGCCACAUUGGGACUGAGAUACGGCCCAGACUCCUACGGGAGGCAGCAGUGGGGAAUAUUGGACAAUGGAGGAAACUCUGAUCCAGCGACACCGCGUGGGGGAUGAAGGCUUUCGGGUCGUAAACCCCUUUUCUGGGGGAAGAAUAAGGUUGGGAGGAAAUGCCCAUCCGAUGACGGUACACCAGGAAUAAGCAUCGGCAAACUCCGUGCCAGCAGCCGCGGUAAGACGGAGGAUGCAAGCGUUAUCCGGAAUUACUGGGCGUAAAGGACGUCUAGGCGGUUGGGUAAGUCACUUGUGAAAGCCCUCGGCUCAACCGAGGAAAGUCUCGUGAUACUGCCCGGCUUGGGUGUAGGAGAGGGAAGUGGAACUCACAGAGUAGCGGUGGAAUGCGUAGAUACUGUGAGGUACCCCGAUGGCGAAGGCAACUUCCUGGCCUACUACCGACGCUGAAGCGUGAAAGCGUGGGGAGCAAAGGGGAUUAGAUACCCCCGUAGUCCACGCCCCAAACGAUGUUCACUUGGUGUCGGCCGCAAAUGUAGGUCGGUGCCGGAGCUAACGCGUUAAGUGAACCGCCUGAGGAGUACGGCCGCAACGCUAAAACUCAAGAGAAUUGACGGGUCCCCGCACAAGCGGUGGAGCACGUGGUUUAAUUCGAUGUAAGCGAAGAACCUCACCCAGGCUUGACAUACUAGUGGUAGGAACCGGAAACGGGGACGACCCUGCCUUCGGGUAGGGAGCUAGUACAGGUGAUGCAUGGCUGUCGUCAGCUCGUGUCGUGGGAUGUAGGGUUAAGUCCCGAAACGAGCGCAACCCUUGUCGUUAGUUGCCAGCGGGUAAUGCCGGGGACUCUAGCGAGACUGCUGGUGAAUAGCCGAGGAAGGCGGGGAUGACGUCAAGUCAUCAUGUCCCUUAUGCCUGGGGCGACAC
Molecule: ribosomal RNA, 1200 nt
Filed under: metagenome
Description: bacterial SSU rRNA
Rfam family: Bacterial small subunit ribosomal RNA
Source: RNAcentral